UGCCUGGGUCUGGGUCAGGGUCAGGGUGUGAUGAGUGGUGGGGAAUUGUUUUGUGCAUUGUUUUUAAACCCACCGAGGAGCGUAAUCAUGAUUACCAACUGGACUAUCUCUUUGAAGUGGAUGAAUGCCUAAUGACUUAUUACGCAUUUGGACUUGGAGACCCUACUUUUUUUAUUAAAAUUACGGCAGAAUAUGGAGGGGAAUGGUCUCGUACAUAUUAUAUGUCAGAAUAUGUUAAAGUGGAAUCGCAUCAUCUUUGGCUGCAUAGUCUGUCCAAGGAAUGUUUACUUCCAACAGAGAUUGAUAAUAAGCGAUUCCAUGAAGUUGAGCUUGAAAUAGAGACCGGGCGCAUGGAGGUGGAGAAAAUUGGGCUUCGUGUGGUAUAAAAGCAAGACAUUGAAGAUCCCAAUUGAGAUGCUUUCUUCAGUUGGUGAUGAAAUCUAGGGUUUGAAGAUCCCAACCAAAAUAUGCGAAGCCCAUGAUGAGGAUGAUGGGGAAUUCUUUUCUUCACUUCUUUUACCUAAAUUUACAAAAGACACCUUGCCUUGUUCAGAUGUUGAUUUUCCUCAAUGAUUUGCACACCUACGUAUAAUUGAAGUUAGAUAAACGAAGGCCUGUUUGUUCUUUCUCUAAAAGGAGCAGCAAUAGAAGUGUUCCCAUCAUCCGUUGGACGUUUGACUGCCCUUCAGGAGUUAAAUCUAAGUGAUUGCAAAAAUCUUGUGUCUUCCUAGCAACAUUUGUAGUUUGAAGAUGCUAAAAAAUCUUCAUCUUUUUGAAUGCUCAAAAUUUGUCAACUUGCCAGAGAAUCUAAGGAAUCUUGAAAGCCUGUUUAAUCUUUCUCUAAGAGGAAUAGCAAUAGAAUUGUUGCCAUCUUCCGUUGGACGUUUGACUGCCCUUCGGCAUUUGAAUUUAAGUGAUUGCGAAAAUCUUUUGUGUCUUCCUGAAAGCAUCUCCCAACUCUCUAGAAUUACAAGGCUCAACUUGGAUGGUUGCAAGAGGCUUCGAUGGUUACCAGAUAUUCGGUCACAAGAUUGUAAUAUAAAUGUAAACAACUGUACCACACUGGAGAGAUUCCCAGAAAGCCCAAAAAAUUGUCCCUUCUGGUGUCGUCACUUUGAUUUCUGUGUCGCGUGUGUCAAUUGCUUCAAUAUUCAAUUCUGUGUCAAGGGACUAACAAGUGGUAAAUUAGUGGGGAGAUUACCUUACGUUCUUCCUGUAAAACAAAUUCCAAAUGGAUUUGAAAAGGCCAACAUACGUGAUAGUUCAGUUUUGGCAUCUCCAAGUUUCCACAGAUGCGAUUAUUCAGUGAACAUGCAAUUGCCACGGUCGGGGUUUGAUGAGUUGUGGGCAAUUCUUUUGUGCGUUGUUUUUGUACCCUGCGAGCAUUAUAAUCACUCACAUUAUCUGAUUGAAAUCAAAUCGAAUAAAGUAUGGUUUCAACGUAUUGCGUCAGAAUAUGGUAAAAUUGAAUCGCAUCACCUUGCGCUGAGCCUGCACUAUUUGAAUUUCUUCGAUCUGGAAACCCCUGGCUGGUCUAUUGAUGAGAAGGGAUUCCAUGAAGUUGAGUUUACAAGCUACCGGGAGCGUGGAGGUGGAGACAGUAGGGUUCCGUUUGUUAAACAAGCAAGACAUCACAUCAAAGACUCGGAUGAUUGGGAGAACACUAGGAUGAUGGGACAUGGGCAUAGAUUGUGAGGAAUCCAGUCAAGGAGAUUUUUUUUCCUCAUCUUUUACCUGGUUAUCGGCGUGUUCACCUGACAAACCAUGGAUUUGGAGAGUAGAAAUCAUCCAGUCACUAACAAGAUGCUGAAUGAGAAAAAACAGUCAAUGAUCAUAGGUUACUCUUAAAAAGCAAUAUGUGUCAAAUCUUGAAAACAAGAGAAUUGAUCUCUUUGAUCGUGGCACCAAAGGAUGUGGGGAAGAUAAUGUCUUGCUAGCACCGUACUGUUCAAGACACCAUCAAUGUUGGAACAGAAACUGCAGCAGCACUCAAGGAUCAGCCAUGACAAAUCAACAGCUAGUAGAUAGUGGAAACCGGAUGAUGGAUGAGACUGAUCAAGCCAUCGAGAGGUCAAAAAAGACACUGUCAAUGUUGGAACAGAGACUGCGGCAGCACUCAAGGCACAGACUAUGAACAAAUGAGUCGGGUUGUUAAUGAGCUGGACUCUAUCCAUUUCUCGAUCAAGAAAGCUUCUCAACUUGUGAAGGAACUUGGUUGCAACUGAUAAAUGUAUUAUGGCUUUACUCUUCCUUAUUGUCGUUGGAGUCAUAGCCAUCAUUAUUGUUAAGCUAAUAUUAUUAUCUUUCAUUUUCUUUGCCAUUAACAAUAUUUUAUUUUCUAAAUAUUUGAUUCUGCUAUUGCCAUCUGAUAACAAAUUGGAAUAGAAUCCAUAAUGUCCCUUUAUUAUAUAGAUGUAGCUUCAUUAUUAUGAAUACUAGGCCUUCCACACACCCCCCCCCCCAAAAUUUUUUUUGACUGUGGAGGCCCACAGGCCUAUUGUUUUUAAAUGUGUAUAACUGUAUAUAUAGUAUUUCCUAACCUGUUUUUAUGCUUCAAUUGGGGCUUUUAUGAGCAAGCUGAUCUCAGGUUGAACUUGUUUGGUUAACCCUUAUUUGCCUAAAAGCUGCAGGAAAAGACUUUUAUAAUGCCAAAUGGUGUAGUUAAUUGUAGUGAAUCUAAGUCAUUUUUUGCUUACCCAAAUAAAAUGUAAAAGAAUUUAGUUCAGUAUACCCUUUUCUUAUAAAAAUAAUAAUGAACUCCACUAAAUAAAAAGGAAAGGAAACAGACACAGUACAUGUGGGUGUAGAAGAGUUAAUCUAAUUGUUGUCAGAUUUUCAUAUUCGUUGGUAAUGCACAGAUUGCAACUUGAUGUCAUCUUUAGGAGAAGUUCAAUUCCUUUUCUUUCUGAAUAGAUUUCUUGUCCACCACAUAUGUAAGAGGGAAACAAUAAUUUUAAUUUUCGUAUAUCAGUUGAAUAUAGUUUGAUGAUUGCUACAGACUUGGAUCAUAAAAUUGGUGGAGAUCGGCUUCAUUUGAAAACCAGUAAAAUUUAGACGUAUUUAUGUCGAAGAAAAAAAGAAGUUGGAACUUACAGAUUUUUUUGGGAACUUAACUACUUAAGUUGCAUAUAACUUUGAGUUCAAGGAUGAAUCGCUUGGUUGUUUUCAUAACUGUAUUGUCCAGAAAGUAUCUAUUUCAAGGCCUUUAAGAUAAUUUUAUAAUUUUUUGGGGGAGAUAACCUUCUAGAGCUUCUACAUUAUUCAUAUCAACACGUCUUAAACCUUUCAUAGUGAGUUGGUGUCUUAAUCACCAAGAACAUUUCAUGUCUUUGCAGUCUCAUGUGACUGUCAAAAGCCAUUAGCUUGUGAAAGAGCUGGCGGUAUAACACUGCAUUGCCCUUUUCUUUCAAUUUGCUUAAUUUUUUAUUUCGUGAAUUAUUUAUUUUUAUG
RNA transcript from Quercus lobata, 3450 nucleotides. RefSeq lists it as uncharacterized. NCBI's taxonomy places the organism in Eukaryota, Viridiplantae, Streptophyta, Magnoliopsida, Fagales, Fagaceae. The transcript is spliced from 11 exons. The record is from RefSeq and is a predicted model, not a curated record.